RNAcentral lists this ribosomal RNA (544 nucleotides) under uncultured bacterium. RNAcentral describes it as "bacterial SSU rRNA". It matches the Rfam family "Bacterial small subunit ribosomal RNA", at positions 358 to 916 of the family's 1533-position model. The record is from RNAcentral.
GGAAUCUUGCGCAAUGGGCGAAAGCCUGACGCAGCAACGCCGCGUGCGGGAAGAAGGCUUUCGGGCUGUAAACCGCUUUCAGUAGGAACGAAACUGACGGUACCUACAGAAGAAGGAGCGGCCAACUAUGUGCCAGCAGCCGCGGUGACACAUAGGCUCCAAGCGUUGUCCGGAUUUAUUGGGCGUAAAGAGCUCGUAGGCGGUUGAGUUAGUCGAGUGUGAAAACUUCGGGCUUAACCCGAAGACGCCACUCGAUACUGCUCUGACUUGAGUUCGGUAGGGGAGUGGGGAAUUCCUUGUGUAGCGGUGAAAUGCGCAGAUAUAAGGAGGAACACCGGUGGCGAAGGCGCCACUCUGGACCGAAACUGACGCUGAGGAGCGAAAGCGUGGGUAGCAAACAGGAUUAGAUACCCUGGUAGUCCACGCGGUAAACGGUGGGAACUAGGUGUGGGAUUCAACUAACGAAUUCCGCGCCGUCGCUAACGCAUUAAGUUCCCCGCCUGGGGAGUACGGUCGCAAGACUAAAACUCAAAGGAAUUGACGG